This 587-nucleotide ribosomal RNA is filed under the name uncultured prokaryote. RNAcentral's name for it is "bacterial SSU rRNA". It matches the Rfam family "Bacterial small subunit ribosomal RNA", at positions 338 to 916 of the family's 1533-position model. The record is from RNAcentral.
CCCCCUGGAGGCAGCAGUAGGGAAUCUUCGGCAAUGGACGAAAGUCUGACCGAGCAACGCCGCGUGAGUGAAGAAGGUUUUCGGAUCGUAAAACUCUGUUGUUAGAGAAGAACGUUGUGUAGAGUGGAAAAUUACACAAGUGACGGUAUCUAACCAGAAAGGGACGGCUAACUACGUGCCAGCAGCCGCGGUAAUACGUAGGUCCCGAGCGUUGUCCGGAUUUAUUGGGCGUAAAGCGAGCGCAGGUGGUUUAAUAAGUCUGAUGUAAAAGGCAGUGGCUCAACCAUUGUGUGCAUUGGAAACUGUUAGACUUGAGUGCAGUAGAGGAGAGUGGAAUUCCAUGUGUAGCGGUGAAAUGCGUAGAUAUAUGGAGGAACACCGGUGGCGAAAGCGGCUCUCUGGACUGUAACUGACACUGAGGCUCGAAAGCGUGGGUAGCAAACAGGAUUAGAUACCCUGGUAGUCCACGCCGUAAACGAUGAGUGCUAGUUGUUUGGGGCUAUCCAGCCCUAAGUGACGCAGCAAACGCAUUAAGCACUCCGCCUGGGGAGUACGACCGCAAGGUUGAAACUCAAAGGAAUUGACGG